UCCUCCCUCUUUCUUCGUGCUUAACACAUGCAAGUCGAACGGAAAGGCCCUGCUUUUGUGGGGUGCUCGAGUGGCGAACGGGUGAGUAACACGUGAGUAACCUGCCCUUGUCUUUGGGAUAACUUCAGGAAACUGGGGCUAAUACCGGAUAGGAGCUCCUGCUGCAUGGUGGGGGUUGGAAAGUUUCGGCGGUUGGGGAUGGACUCGCGGCUUAUCAGCUUGUUGGUGGGGUAGUGGCUUACCAAGGCUUUGCCGGGUAGCCGGCCUGAGAGGGUGACCGGCCACAUUGGGACUGAGAUACGGCCCAGACUCCUACGGGAGGCAGCAGUGGGGAAUAUUGCACAAUGGGCGGAAGCCUGAUGCAGCAACGCCGCGUGCGGGAUGACGGCCUUCGGGUUGUAAACCGCUUUCGCCUGUGACGAAGCGUGAGUGACGGUAAUGGGUAAAGAAGCACCGGCUAACUACGUG
Molecule: ribosomal RNA, 468 nt
Filed under: uncultured bacterium
Lineage: Bacteria
Description: partial 16S ribosomal RNA
Rfam family: Bacterial small subunit ribosomal RNA
Source: RNAcentral